This 545-nucleotide transfer RNA is filed under the name Kryptousia macronema CENA336. RNAcentral describes it as "16S-23S ribosomal RNA intergenic spacer". The stretch from base 132 to 205 matches the Rfam family "tRNA". Lineage: Bacteria; Bacillati; Cyanobacteriota; Cyanophyceae; Nostocales; Tolypothrichaceae. RNAcentral also lists the same sequence under 1 other name. The record is from RNAcentral.
CCUUUAAAGGAGACCUACCCACUCGAAUAUUUAUAAAAUUGCAAUUAAAUAUAGAGUUGGUCAUCCUAAAGGUCGAUGGUGUUGGUAAUUUGUGUAGAUACUAACUUUCAAACUAUAUUUUGGUUCAAAUUGGGCUAUUAGCUCAGGUGGUUAGAGCGCACCCCUGAUAAGGGUGAGGUCCCUGGUUCGAGUCCAGGAUGGCCCACCUGAAAAAAGUACGAAGUGUAAAGUAUGAAGGAUGAAGUGAAUAAACCACUUUUGACUUUAGCCUUGAGAUUUCAACCUUUGAAUGGGGGGUUAAGUGGCGUUGUUAGAGCGCAAAGCAAGCACUCUGUCAGCGGUUGAAGUUUUUACGUCCUCCAGUUAAAGGAAAAUUCAGCAACUGAGCAUCUUGUUGCCAGACUGCUGGAUGAAUUUCCAGCAAUAGAACCUUGAAAACUGCAUAUUGAAGCGAAUAGAGUAAGCAAGUAGACACAUUGAUUUGUGUUUAAUUUGGAUUACAAGCAAUUGUUUAUUGGUCAAGCUAAUAAGGGCUAACGGUGGAU